RNAcentral lists this ribosomal RNA (27 nucleotides) under Echium simplex. RNAcentral's name for it is "26S ribosomal RNA". Lineage: Eukaryota; Viridiplantae; Streptophyta; Magnoliopsida; Boraginales; Boraginaceae. RNAcentral also lists the same sequence under 12 other names. The record is from RNAcentral.
GACCGCGACCCCAGGUCAGGCGGAUAC